RNAcentral lists this ribosomal RNA (952 nucleotides) under Isozoanthus giganteus. RNAcentral describes it as "eukaryotic LSU rRNA". It matches the Rfam family "Eukaryotic large subunit ribosomal RNA", at positions 42 to 793 of the family's 3401-position model. Lineage: Eukaryota; Metazoa; Cnidaria; Anthozoa; Zoantharia; Parazoanthidae. The record is from RNAcentral.
AUCAAUAAGCGGAGGAAAGAAACUAACAAGGAUUCCCCCAGUAACGGCGAGUGAAGCGGGAACGGCUCAAAUUUGAAAUCUCCGUUGCUUGCAACGGCGAAUUGUAGUUUCGAGAUACACUUUCUAGGCGGAUCGGCCCUGUCUAAGUUGCUUGGAACAGCACGUCGAAGAGGGUGACAACCCCGUCUGCGACGGGGCCGGCCGCUCAUCGAUGGUGUUUUCGAAGAGUCGGGUUGUUUGGGAAUGCAGCCCAAAAUGGGUGGUAAACUCCAUCUAAAGCUAAAUACAGGCACGAGACCGAUAGCGAACAAGUACCGUGAGGGAAAGAUGAAAAGAACUUUGAAAAGAGAGUUAAAAAGUACGUGAAACCGUUAAAAGGGAAACGAACGGAGUUAGCAAUGCACCCUGCAAGAUUCAGCCGGCCGGUGGCUCGGACGCGAGGUUUGCGGAUCCGAACGGACCGCUUCCGCGCGCUUCGGGUUCCCGAGCGUCGCACUUCUUGCGGGUGCGCGUCAACAUCGGUUCGGAGCGGGUUUGAAAGGUGUCGGGAAGGUAGGUCUCCUGCUUCGGCUCCAGACUGUUACAGCCCGGCGUUCGAUGGCUCGCUCCGGACCGAGGAGUCGCAGCGCAUGCCUCUCGUGGCUAGGGUCUCGUCGCGCCUUUCGGUUGUCGACCGUCGUGGACUGCUUGCAGUGCGCGCAAACUGCUGCCGGUCGCCGCGGCGACGACUCCGUACUAUGCGCUCAGGAUGUUGGCGGUCAUAUGGCUUCGUCCGACCCGUCUUGAAACACGGACCAAGGAGUCUAACAUGUGCGCGAGUCUUAGGGUGACGGAAACCCCGAGGCAGAAUGAAAGUGAAGGCAGCCUGGCUGCUGAGGCGAGAACCUCUCCCCCGUUCGCGGGCGGCGAGGCGCAUCGUUGACCGAUCUAUUCUACUCUUAGGAAGAUUUGA